RNAcentral lists this ribosomal RNA (157 nucleotides) under uncultured soil bacterium. RNAcentral describes it as "partial 16S ribosomal RNA". It matches the Rfam family "Bacterial small subunit ribosomal RNA", at positions 26 to 182 of the family's 1533-position model. The record is from RNAcentral.
AGAUUGAACGCUGGCGGCAUGCCUUACACAUGCAAGUCGAACGGCAGCACGGGAGCAAUCCUGGUGGCGAGUGGCGAACGGGUGAGUAAUAUAUCGGAACGUGCCCAGUCGUGGGGGAUAACGCAGCGAAAGCUGUGCUAAUACCGCAUACGAUCUC